UACUGCAUUUUUUCUUACACAUGUGUUUUUCUUUUUGAAAACUUUGCUUUGGUAGGCCUUCUAUAUGGGGCCUGCCAGAGAUUAAACUCAACCAAAUUUUAUUUAAUGUCAACCGAUUAUUUAAUAGUCAAAACUUUCAACAACGGAUCUCUUGGUUCUCGCAUCGAUGAAGAACGCAGCGAAAUGCGAUAAGUAAUAUGAAUUGCAGAUAUUCGUGAAUCAUCGAAUCUUUGAACGCACAUUGCGCCCUUUGGUAUUCCAAAGGGCAUGCCUGUUUGAGCGUCAUUUCUCCCUCAAACCCUCGGGUUUGGUGUUGAGCGAUACGCUGGGUUUGCUUGAAAGAAAGGCGGAGUAUAAACUAAUGGAUAGGUUUUUUCCACUCAUUGGUACAAACUCCAAAACUUCUUCCAAAUUCGACCUCAAAUCAGGUAGGACUACCCGCUGAACUUAAGCAUAUCAAUAGCGGGAGG
Molecule: ribosomal RNA, 470 nt
Filed under: Lodderomyces parapsilosis
Lineage: Eukaryota; Fungi; Ascomycota; Pichiomycetes; Serinales; Debaryomycetaceae
Description: eukaryotic LSU rRNA
Rfam family: 5.8S ribosomal RNA (bases 132-285)
Source: RNAcentral